AGAGUUUGAUCCUGGCUCAGAACGAACGCUGGCGGCGUGGCUAAGACAUGCAAGUCAAACGGACUGUGCCUUUAGUACAGUCAGUGGCGAAAGGGUGCGGAACGGACAGGCAACGUACCCUGUGCUUCAGAAUAGCGUCUGAAAACUUCGGUUUUCUUCCGAAAGGGGCGGUAAUACUGAAUAAUGUCAUUCUUCGAAUGUGGGAUGACCAAAGAUUUAUCGGCACAGGAGCGGCCUAUCUCCUAUCAGCUUGUUGGUGAGGUAAUGGCUCACCAAGGCAACGACGGGUACCGGAACUGAGAGGUUGAUCCGGCUCAUCGGGACUGAGACACUGCCCGGACCUCCACGGAGGGCUGCAGUAACGAAUAUUGCGCAAUGAGCGAAAGCUUGACGCAGCGACGCCGCGUGUAGGAUGAAGCCUUUCGGGGUGUAAACUACUGUCAGGACUUAGAAAGUGCGCUUCGGCGUAUUGAUCAGGUCCAGAGGAAGUCACGGCUAACUACGUGCCAGCAGCCGCGGUAAUACGUAGGUGGCGAGCGUUGUUCGGAAUCACUGGGCUUAAAGCGUGUGUAGGUGGAAUAGUAAGCGUUUUGUGAAAUCCCUCGGCUUAACCGAGGAACUGCUUGGCGAACUGCUAUUCUUGAGGUAGGUAGGGGUGUGUGGAACUCUUGGUGGAGCGGUGGAAUGCGUAGAUAUCAAGAGGAACGCCCGUGGAGAAGUCGGCACACUGGGCCUAUCCUGACACUGAGACACGAAAGCGUGGGUAGCGAACGGGAUUAGAUACCCCGGUAGUCCACGCCGUAAACGAUGUCUACUAGAUUUCGCGAAUUCUGACAUUGGCGGAAUCGAAGCAAAAGUGAUAAGUAGACCGCCUGGGGAGUACGGUCGCAAGGCUAAAACUCAAAGGAAUUGACGGGGGCUCACGCAAGCGGUGGAGCAUGUGGAUUAAUUCGAAGCAACGCGCAGAACCUUACCUGGGUUUGACAUGCUUGGAUGCCCAUCUGGAAACGGAGUAGGCUGCCCUUCGGGGUGAAACUUGCACAGGUGCUGCAUGGCUGUCGUCAGCUCGUGUCGUGAGAUGUCGGGUUAAGUCCUUUAACGAGCGAAACCCUUACCGUUAGUUGCCAGCGAGUAAUGUCGGGGACUCUAGCGGGACUGCCGGUGUUAAACCGGAGGAAGGCGGGGAUGACGUCAAGUCCUCAUGGCCUUUAUGCCCAGGGCCUCACACGUGCUACAAUGGUGGCCACAGAGCGACGCAAUACCGCGAGGUGGAGCAAAUCGCACAAAGGUCAUCUCAGUCCGGAUUGCAGGCUGGCAAUUCGCCUGCAUGAAGUUGGAAUCGCUAGUAAUCGCGUAUCAGCUAUGACGCGGUGAAUGUGUUCCUGAGCCUUGUACACACCGCCCGUCAAGUGAUGGAAGCUGGAAGUACCCGAAGUCGGGUUGCUAACCUUUUAUUAGGAGGCGCCUGCCUACGGUAAGUUCGGUAACUGGCACUAAGUCGUAACAAGGUA
This 1511-nucleotide ribosomal RNA is filed under the name metagenome. Its description in RNAcentral is "bacterial SSU rRNA". It matches the Rfam family "Bacterial small subunit ribosomal RNA". The record is from RNAcentral.